Molecule: long non-coding RNA, 576 nt
Organism: Mastomys coucha (southern multimammate mouse)
Lineage: Eukaryota; Metazoa; Chordata; Mammalia; Rodentia; Muridae
Exons: 3
Source: RefSeq, a predicted model, not a curated record
UAAGGAGAAGGGGGGAGCUUUUUAAGCUGCCGAUUGCUUUAUUAUUGCUGAAAGAAAUAAAGGGAAAAUCACAAAAGGAAAGGAGUGAGGAGAAUUAAGGAUCUAAUAACAGUGCGAGCUUGCUGCCCAGGUUGUGUCUCUUGCUGUGCUGGAAUCGUUUUUCUUUGUCGACAGCCUUGCACUCAGCUAUUUUUAGGGUCUCUUUAAUAAUUGAGCUGUAGCAAUUGUACUCAGCAACUGGAACAGACAAGGAAAACAGCAGCUCAAAGAAAACAGUGUGGUAGCCAUGACUUAAUUCAGAUCGCGUCACCGAGCACACCUUUCUUUCAGCACUAUCAGGAGUGGAGGACUGCCAGACUAACUAACUCCAGGUUCAGUGAAAGAUACUGCCUCAAGGGAAUAUCAUGGAGAGUUGUGGAGGAAGACAUCAGCUCUCUCUAGCCUCUUCCUAGCAGUGCUCCACAUACAAGGAGAAAGAAUGGGAAAUGCAGUUCACAGGGAGGAACUGGACCUGUGGACAUGCAUAGAUCUGACUGACUAUGGAAGCACAAGCAAGAAAAUCACCUUUGACUGACC